CAAGUAAAUCGCCUUAUCGCUCUUGUGUUGAAUUUAUUUCAGCAUCUUAUAAUUUAACUUUACGGUUGAUUGAAAAGGUACUGAAAUAAAUUCAGCACAAGAGAGGAAAGUCCGAACACCAUAGUGCAACAUAGUGGUUAAUGGCCACCAGCUGUGAGGCUAGGAAAAGUGCAACAGAAAGUAUGUACAGGUAAUGCUGUAGUGAAAUCAGGUAAACUCUAUGUGGUGAAAUGUCAUGUAAACUAACGCUUGAGGGCUGCACGUGCAAUGUUAGAGGGUAGGCAGCUAAAGUGUAUUGGUAACAAUACACUCAGAUAAAUGAUAAGGGUGUUUUGUCUUGUGGAUGAGAUUCUGAAAUAAGUUCAGGACAUACAGAAUUCGGCUUAUAGAUUUGCUUACAUA
Molecule: RNase P RNA, 402 nt
Filed under: Wocania arenilitoris
Lineage: Bacteria; Pseudomonadati; Bacteroidota; Flavobacteriia; Flavobacteriales; Flavobacteriaceae
Description: RNase P RNA component class A
Rfam family: Bacterial RNase P class A
About the family: Ribonuclease P (RNase P) is a ubiquitous endoribonuclease, found in archaea, bacteria and eukarya as well as chloroplasts and mitochondria.
Source: RNAcentral